Molecule: ribosomal RNA, 403 nt
Filed under: uncultured bacterium
Lineage: Bacteria
Description: partial 16S ribosomal RNA
Rfam family: Bacterial small subunit ribosomal RNA
Source: RNAcentral
AUUGAACGCUGGCGGCAGGCCUAACACAUGCAAGUCGAGCGAGCGGCGGACGGGUGAGGAAUGUAUGGGGACUGCUCGCUAGAGGGGGAUAACUACUGGAAAAGGUAGCUAAUACCGCAUAUUAUCGGAUAACCCAUAUGGGAUUUGCUGGUGGGUGAGGUAAUGGCUCACCUAGGCGACGAUCCCUAGCUGGUCUGAGAGGAUGAUCAGCCACACUGGGACUGAGACACGGCCCAGACUCCUACGGAGGCAGCAGUGGGGAAUAUUGCACAAUGGGCGCAAGCCUGAUGCAGCCAUGCCGCGUGUAUGAAGAAGGCCUUAGGGUUGUAAAGUACUUUCAGUCGGGAGGCGUUACCGACAGAAGAAGCACCGGCUAACUCCGUGCCAGCAGCCGCGGUAAUUC